Tinamus guttatus (white-throated tinamou) is the source of this 475-nucleotide non-coding RNA. The record is from RefSeq and is a predicted model, not a curated record. NCBI's taxonomy places the organism in Eukaryota, Metazoa, Chordata, Aves, Tinamiformes, Tinamidae.
GUUUCCUUGACAAUAGCCAUAUAGAUGCUGCUAUAACCAUGGGAAUGGUGCUCCUGAAUGAAGCUGCUACGUCCAAAGGCGAUGUUGGAAAAAGGAGAAUAAUAUGCCUGGUAGGCCUGGGUCUGGUGGUCUUUUUCUUCAGCUUCCUGUUGUCAAUAUUUCGCUCCAAAUACCAUGGCUACCCCUAUAGCUUCUUAAUUAAAUGAAUUCAAGAGGGAUUCAUUUAGAGCUGUUUCCUGUGAAGAUAAGCUGUUACUUAUUAUCUGCUUACCACUGUUACAUGUAUUUCAGAAUAUUUUAUUGGUUUAUCUGUUUUUGUGAUAAGUUAUAUAGUAUGCUGACAAAUGAGUGCAGUUUUAUGCAAUGAAUGCUUAAUUUAUAGAAAUGUACCAUAAAGAUCCCAUUGGGAAGCGUUAAAAUUAUGAAUAGAGUAUACUCAGUGGUCAAACGUUUAAAUAAAGUUCAUUGUAAUGGG